AGCAGCCGCGGUAAUUCCAGCUCCAAUAGCGUAUAUUAAAGUUGUUGCAGUUAAAAAGCUCGUAGUUGAACUUCAGGCCUGGCUGGACGGUCCGCCUUCUGGGUGAGCACUGUCUGUGGUCGGGUCCUCCUUCUGGCGAAGCGGCAUGGCCUUAACCGGCCGUGGCGGGGAACCAGGACUUUUACUGUGAAAAAUUAGAGUGUUCAAAGCAGGCAAUCGCGCUUGAAUACAUUAGCAUGGAAUAAUGGAAUAGGACAGUGGUUCUAUUUGUUGGUUUCUAGGACCGUUGUAAUGAUUAAUAGGGAUAGUUGGGGGCAUUAGUAUUCAAUUGUCAGAGGUGAAAUUCUUGGAUUUAUUGAAGACUAACUACUGCGAAAGCGUUUGCCAAGGAUGUUUUCAUUAAUCAAGAACGAAAGUUAGGGGAUCGAAGACGAUCAGAUACCGUCGUAGUCUUAACCAUAAACUAUGCCGACUAGGAAUCGGGCGAUGUUGACAAAAUGACGCGCUCGGCACC
RNAcentral lists this ribosomal RNA (514 nucleotides) under uncultured Paraglomus. RNAcentral describes it as "SSU rRNA". It matches the Rfam family "Eukaryotic small subunit ribosomal RNA", at positions 569 to 1087 of the family's 1831-position model. The record is from RNAcentral. Lineage: Eukaryota; Fungi; Glomeromycota; Glomeromycetes; Paraglomerales; Paraglomeraceae.